RNAcentral lists this transfer RNA (74 nucleotides) under Pseudomonadota bacterium. Its description in RNAcentral is "tRNA-His". It matches the Rfam family "tRNA". Rfam says of the family: Transfer RNA (tRNA) molecules are approximately 80 nucleotides in length. Their secondary structure includes four short double-helical elements and three loops (D, anti-codon, and T loops). Lineage: Bacteria; Pseudomonadati; Pseudomonadota. The record is from RNAcentral. RNAcentral also lists the same sequence under 2 other names.
GCCGGUGUAGCUCAGUUGGAUAGAGCGCUUGACUGUGGAUCAAGAGGUCCCCGGUUCGACCCCGGGCGCCGGCA